GACUUGUGUGCGCCGGAUGCGGCGAUCUGCGGCCAAAAGGUCGUUGCGAUCAGCCCGUCCUGGCGCCGUAAAAUUUGCAACUGAGUCGCCUCUGGUCUUAAUUGGUCGGUGGCGUCUGCUCGGUUGCUCGUUUACUGUGAGAAAAUUGGAGUGUUCAAGGCAGGCGUGGAUUGCAACUGAACAUGUUAGCAUGGAAUAAUAAGAUAGGGCUCCGGCUCAUAUUUUGUUGGUUUCUAUAACUGAAGUAAUGAUUGAUAGGGAUAGUUGGGGGUGCUAGUAUUGGCCGGCCAGAGGUGAAAUUCUUGGAUUCGGUCAAGACUAACUUAUGCGAAAGCAUU
Molecule: ribosomal RNA, 338 nt
Filed under: uncultured Polymyxa
Lineage: Eukaryota; Endomyxa; Phytomyxea; Plasmodiophorida; Plasmodiophoridae
Description: SSU rRNA
Rfam family: Eukaryotic small subunit ribosomal RNA (bases 124-338)
Source: RNAcentral